Molecule: transfer RNA, 88 nt
Filed under: bioreactor metagenome
Description: tRNA-Arg
Source: RNAcentral
CUAUGCAUGGCACGGGUUUGGGGCACUUCUUGUGCCUACAGACUGUCGAACCCGAGGUAUUUCCUGCUCGGUGCGGGGGGCAUAGUCC